This 501-nucleotide ribosomal RNA is filed under the name uncultured Sphingobacteriales bacterium. RNAcentral's name for it is "bacterial SSU rRNA". It matches the Rfam family "Bacterial small subunit ribosomal RNA", at positions 903 to 1382 of the family's 1533-position model. Lineage: Bacteria; Pseudomonadati; Bacteroidota; Sphingobacteriia; Sphingobacteriales. The record is from RNAcentral.
UUGCCAGCCCGCUCAGAAACUUAAAGGAAUUGACGGGGGCCCGCACAAGCGGAGGAGCAUGUGGUUUAAUUCGAUGAUACGCGAGGAACCUUACCUGGGCUCGAACGUAAGAUGACUGUAGGUGAAAGCUUACAUCUCUUCGGAGCAUUUUACGAGGUGCUGCAUGGUUGUCGUCAGCUCGUGCCGUGAGGUGUCGGGUUAAGUCCCAUAACGAGCGCAACCCCUACCUUUAGUUGCCAUCAGGUUAAGCUGGGGACUCUAAAGGAACUGCCUACGCAAGUAGUGAGGAAGGCGGGGAUGACGUCAAAUCAGCACGGCCCUUACGUCCAGGGCUACACACGUGCUACAAUGGCCGAUACAGAGGGCAGCUACCUGGUGACAGGAUGCAAAUCUCCAAAGUCGGUCUCAGUUCGGAUCGGAGUCUGCAACCCGACUCCGUGAAGUUGGAUUCGCUAGUAAUCGCGCAUCAGCCAUGGCGCGGUGAAUACGUUCCCGGGCCUU